GAUGAAGAACGUAGCGAAAUGCGAUACUUGGUGUGAAUUGCAGAAUCCCGUGAACCAUCGAGUCUUUGAACGCAAGUUGCGCCCGAAGCCACUAGGCCGAGGGCACGCCUGCCUGGGCGUCACACGCCGUUGCCCCCCCAUCUACUCCUUCGGGAUUGCGGGAGGGCGGAUGAUGGCCUCCCGUGCGCCUAGCCGCGCGGUUGGCAUAAAUACCAAGUCCUCGGCGACGCACGCCACGACAAUCGGUGGUUGCGAAACCUCGGUUGCCCGUCGUGUGCGUUCGUCGCGCAUCGAGGGCUCGAAAAAAUGCUCGGCUCCGGCUGGGCUUUCAACGCGACCCCAGGUCAGGCGGGGUUACCCGCUGAAUUUAAGCAUAUCAAUAAGCGGAGGA
Molecule: unclassified non-coding RNA, 391 nt
Filed under: soil metagenome
Description: partial contains 5.8S ribosomal RNA, internal transcribed spacer 2, and large subunit ribosomal RNA
Rfam family: 5.8S ribosomal RNA (bases 1-122)
Source: RNAcentral